UGCGUAGGCGGAUUGGCAAGUCAGAAGUGAAAUCCAUGGGCUUAACCCAUGAACUGCUUUUGAAACUGUUAGUCUUGAGUGAAGUAGAGGUAGGCGGAAUUCCCGGUGUAGCGGUGAAAUGUGUAGAUAUCGGGAAGAACACCAAUGGCGAAGGCAGGUCUCUGGGCCGUUACUGACGCUGAGGAGCGAAAGCGUGGGGAGCGAACA
This 207-nucleotide ribosomal RNA is filed under the name uncultured bacterium. RNAcentral's name for it is "partial 16S ribosomal RNA". It matches the Rfam family "Bacterial small subunit ribosomal RNA", at positions 568 to 774 of the family's 1533-position model. The record is from RNAcentral.